This 797-nucleotide long non-coding RNA is filed under the name Callithrix jacchus (white-tufted-ear marmoset). RNAcentral describes it as "lncRNA (ENSCJAG00000081035.1)". Lineage: Eukaryota; Metazoa; Chordata; Mammalia; Primates; Cebidae. The record is from RNAcentral.
CCCCGCCCCGCCAACUGCAGGCAGCUUGUGCUACCCUUUGUAGUUUUACGGAAGGUGAAGACUAAGUUCACGCCCCCCCCCCCAGCCCCAAAGCACUCUGGGUGAGCAGCUACUCCUGUGGUUUCUCAUUGGCUCUCUCACUCUCAAAACAGCUCGUUCCCAGCCCCUCCAAGCAUUUCGUGGUCCACGUGACCAAUAGCAGCAAGAAGAAGUGGAGGUUUAUUGUCCGGCUGUACACAGCACAAGCAAGAAAGAGAAAGAAACUAAAGGAAUUAAAUCAGCUUGUCCAGCAGCAAGCUUCAGAGCCAAAUGUAAGGACACCUCAUAAAUCAGACCUCGUGAUGGGUCCGAAGAAGACACACCCAGCAGCUGCCAAAUGAACAGCAGAUGACAGGAAGGGGCCCCUGGCCUGAUGUCUCAUGGGAGGUGAUGGCCUUUUCUGAGUUGAAGAUAGGGAAAUGCCAGAAGGAGCUGAUGAGGCUGUCCCACACACUGACACUGAUGUCAUGAUUGAAUUUCAGUUUUAUCUCUCACCAUAAUUUCUGGGCAGUUAUUGAGAUGAUGAUUCAUAAACACUCCUUACUGUUCUGCAUUGGAUUAAUCAUGGUGUACUGUCUUUUGCUCACCAUUUACAAAGUAUAACACCAUGAGAAACCCUGAAUCUUAAAGUUUCUCUCCACUGGAAUAUAAACAUAUUUUGGGUUAUUUGCAUGGUCUGGUCGCUUCUUUCUCUUACUAGUUGCCAUGAAAGAAUGACAGAAAUAAAAUACGGUUUAUGAGUGGAUGCUGAAUUUAAC